RNAcentral lists this ribosomal RNA (254 nucleotides) under uncultured bacterium. RNAcentral describes it as "partial 16S ribosomal RNA". It matches the Rfam family "Bacterial small subunit ribosomal RNA", at positions 524 to 776 of the family's 1533-position model. The record is from RNAcentral.
UACGUAGGGUGCGAGCGUUGUCCGGAAUUAUUGGGCGUAAAGGGCUCGUAGGCGGUUUGUCGCGUCGGGAGUGAAAUCCACUGGCUUAACUGGUGGCUUGCUUUCGAUACGGGCAGACUGGAGGUAUGCAGGGGAGAACGGAAUUCCUGGUGUAGCGGUGAAAUGCGCAGAUAUCAGGAGGAACACCGGUGGCGAAGGCGGUUCUCUGGGCAUGUCCUGACGCUGAGGAGCGAAAAGUGUGGGGAGCGAACAGG